ACCCAGCUGACGAGUCCCAAAUACGACGAAAUGCGCGUUAUCCUGGAU
RNAcentral lists this non-coding RNA (48 nucleotides) under Trichobilharzia regenti. The record is from RNAcentral. Lineage: Eukaryota; Metazoa; Platyhelminthes; Trematoda; Strigeidida; Schistosomatidae.